CCUGGCCUGUGUGUUACUAUACAUUGUAUAGUCAGUAGGAAUGAAUUACAAUAGUUUUUUAAAAGUAAUAGAAUGCCAGUUCUUACUCUCUGAUUUAUAUUCUAGGAGAGAUCAUGUCUCAUCUGGCUCCCCACUCAGUUGAAUCUUUUGGCCGAUGUGGAUGGUACUGAUGGAUGAGAAGAGAGGAAGAAAGCAAAGCUUGAGGGAGGUUUGGAAAAUGAAGCAGGCUGGAGGAUGAAUGAAAUAAAUGUUCAAGCUUUUCUUAGCAAACAGCAAAGAAGCUGAGCUAUAAGGCAUGUUGUUAAUGUGUGAUGAUUCACCCAGCGCUCCAAAAUAUUCUGACAGUUUUUCAGCAUUACACUGAGCGUCUUUCUGACCCUUUCUCCUGCACCAUUCUGGUUGCUGUGAAGUGCUUCUGUGUGGUCCCUUGUCAGAACAUCACGGAGCACUUGAAUCCUGUGUCACCCAGACAUAUGGGACGAGGCAUGUUCUGGACUUCAGCCUCUCAGCCUUGAAAGCCACUUGCCACAGUUUACAAUGGGUAAUUUGUCCUCUGAGUUAUUUUGGCUUCAAUUUGGAUUAUUUUGAGUUGUGUUUUAAAGAAAUGGUGAAUAUCAGUUCUGAUCCUCAUAUAGGAUAUAUGCAUUUAUAUAUGUAUAGUGUAUACUCUACUAUACACAAUUUCUUCUGACAAUGUUAAAGAAAAAUCAGGGUGCUUCAGUGUGUUGCAGUUGCUUCCCCAGAUACAAUCCUAUGCUAAAGGACAAUUAAGUUGGGUGUGUGGGGCUAACACUUGAUAUGUAUUUUAGAAAGGAAAUGCUCUAGCUGGAAGACAAGUUCAUGAAUGCACAUUUCUCUUCUAUUCUUUGAGGUUCUCUCCUGUUUGAUGCCGUUAAUACCUGUGUACUCUUCACUUUUCAGCUGUACUGAGUAAGGUCGUUGCUGUGUCAGGAGCAGAGCCCAUGCUGCCUCUCUGUGCUCCCCUCAGCUGCCUUGGCUCAGGGGGAGCUGAAAAAAAGGACAAACUGUUCCCUUCCCGAGGAGCAAACUGCCACAGAGGUGGCACGCAGGUGUGGGAUCCAAAGUGGAGGGCAGAACAACUACCUCAUGUUUUCUGGAGUUAGUGCUCUCUUGGUGUUGGUUCUUGUACAUUUGAUCUUGUUUCAGGGCCAGCGAGAUGCCCGGGGCUGGACUGUUCCUGCCACGGCUGCAGGGUGCCAGGAGGAGCUGGCAGCCCUGUUCUGCCCCCAAAUUGGUUCCAGUAAUAGAGGAAGGUCGUUUCUUAGCUCCACCUGAGCCAAACUGAGGAUGGGGUUGGUUCUGCUCGGCCACCUCAAGGGCCAGGGACUGAUUCCAUUCAGAGCUGGCUGUAGGACGGAUGGGCUGAAUCAUCCUUUGGAGGAUGGUGCCUUUUCUACCUAUUGCCCAUGGCCCACUGCAGUGACUGCACAAACUCAGACUGUAUGUGGAACUCAAAGAUUUGGGGAGUCCUGUGCAGGGAGAUGAUCUUCACUGAAUAAAUUCAGUUUUUGUGGAGGCGUUUUAUAGAAA
This 1551-nucleotide long non-coding RNA is filed under the name Calidris pygmaea (Spoon-billed sandpiper). RNAcentral describes it as "lncRNA (ENSCPGG00000000508.1)". The record is from RNAcentral. Lineage: Eukaryota; Metazoa; Chordata; Aves; Charadriiformes; Scolopacidae.